This 326-nucleotide unclassified non-coding RNA is filed under the name soil metagenome. Its description in RNAcentral is "partial contains 5.8S ribosomal RNA, internal transcribed spacer 2, and large subunit ribosomal RNA". The stretch from base 1 to 120 matches the Rfam family "5.8S ribosomal RNA", at positions 35 to 154 of the family's 154-position model. The record is from RNAcentral.
GAUGAAGAACGUAGCGAAAUGCGAUAAGUAAUGUGAAUUGCAGAAUUUAGUGAAUCAUCGAAUCUUUGAACGCACAUUGCGCCCUAUAGUAUUCUGUAGGGCAUGCCUGUUCGAGCGUUAUUGAGACCUCAAGCUCUGCUUGGAAAUGGGCGCUUGUCUUGCCUUGCAGACUCGCCUUAAAACCAUUGGCAGCUGAUUUACAAUGUUUGGUGCACAGUACAUGAGCCCAAGUGUUGCAAUGAGUGGCCCAAAAGUAUACAAUAGAAGCUUAACCUCGGAUCAGGUAGGGAUACCCGCUGAACUUAAGCAUAUCAAUAAGCGGAGGA